This 459-nucleotide ribosomal RNA is filed under the name uncultured bacterium. RNAcentral's name for it is "partial 16S ribosomal RNA". It matches the Rfam family "Bacterial small subunit ribosomal RNA", at positions 338 to 795 of the family's 1533-position model. The record is from RNAcentral.
CCUACGGGCGGCAGCAGUGAGGAAUAUUGGUCAAUGGCCGGAAGGCUGAACCAGCCAUGUCGCGUGAAGGUCAGUGCCCUAUGGGCGUUAAACUUCUUUUGUGCGGGAGCAAUAAUGGUCACGUGUGGCCAGACGAGAGUACCGUACGAAUAAGCAUCGGCUAACUCCGUGCCAGCAGCCGCGGUAAUAGGGGGGAUGCAAGCGUUAUCCGGUUUUAUUGGGUUAAAGGGGGCGUAAGCUGUGAGGUAAGUCAGCGGUGAAAUGCCCCCGCUCAACGGGGUGAAGUGCCAUUGAUAAUGCCUUGCUGGAAUGCGGAUGCCGUGGGAGGAAUGUGUGGUGUAGCGGUGAAAUGCAUAGAUAUCACACAGAACACCGAUUGCGAAGGCAUCUCACGAAUCCGCGAUUGACGCUGAUGCACGAAAGCGUGGGGAGCAAACAGGAUUAGAUACCCCAGUAGUC